UACGUAGGGUGCGAGCGUUGUCCGGAUUUAUUGGGCGUAAAGGGCUCGUAGGCGGCGUGUCGCGUCGGGGAGUGAAAGCCCGCUGCUUAACGGCGGGUUGGCUUCCGGUACGGGCAUGCUGGAGUGUGGCAGGGGAGACUGGAAUUCCUGGUGUAGCGGUGGAAUGCGCAGAUAUCAGGAGGAACACCGGUGGCGAAGGCGGGUCUCUGGGCCAUUACUGACGCUGAGGAGCGAAAGCGUGGGGAGCGAACAGG
RNAcentral lists this ribosomal RNA (254 nucleotides) under uncultured bacterium. RNAcentral's name for it is "partial 16S ribosomal RNA". It matches the Rfam family "Bacterial small subunit ribosomal RNA", at positions 524 to 776 of the family's 1533-position model. The record is from RNAcentral.